RNAcentral lists this ribosomal RNA (253 nucleotides) under uncultured bacterium. RNAcentral's name for it is "partial 16S ribosomal RNA". It matches the Rfam family "Bacterial small subunit ribosomal RNA", at positions 524 to 776 of the family's 1533-position model. The record is from RNAcentral.
UACGUAGGGGGCAAGCGUUGUCCGGAAUCAUUGGGCGUAAAGCGCGCGUAGGCGGCCCCGUAAGUCCGCUGUGAAAGUCAAAGGCUCAACCUUUGAAAGCCGGUGGAUACUGUGGGGCUAGAGUCCGGAAGAGGCGAGUGGAAUUCCUGGUGUAGCGGUGGAAUGCGCAGAUAUCAGGAGGAACACCAAUAGCGAAGGCAGCUCGCUGGGACGGUACUGACGCUAAGGCGCCAAAGCGUGGGGAGCGAACAGG